UAAAGAGUUCUUAGCUCCAGUUAUUACUCCUUUUGAAGCAAUGAUUGCUUUCGGCAGAGGAAGCGAAUGGACUGGGGCUUAUGUGACAGAAUUUCGGGAUUUGAUUACUUCUUCCCCCAUGGAAGCGAAAAACCAGUCAGAAGCUCGGUUUUCUUUCAUUCAGGGCGGAUACGUGGAAGAUGUUGAACAGCAAGAGGUUGAAGAAGUUGAAGAUGGAGUUUCUGCUUUAGUGAACAUCACAGAGAAGGCUUUGCGUGUUCGUGACAAAGACUCACAAACUCUAAUGCCCGGAACAGCUAAAUCUGGUGCAGAGUACUUCGCGACUAGGUCAUAUCACGGCCUUGACAUUCAUCCUGAAAAUAAUUUCUCCGAGCCGUUUUUGAUUGGUAAAAGUGGGAGGGCAUCAGGAUACAGGAAUGAAACUGCACAAAAAAGUUAGCAAUUGGAACCACUAUACGCAUUAAGAUGAAUUUGUGGAAGAUGCAGCAGACAUACAAAGCCACUCUAAAUGAUUUGUAACAUCAGCAGCUAUUUAUGCCUUUUGGUCUCAAAUGGCUAUUUUUUGUUUCUUCAGUCAUUAUGUGUAUAUAUAGUUUUGAUGAUCUUACUACCUAUAAAUUUCUUUUUGACAAUUUUGG
This 638-nucleotide unclassified non-coding RNA is filed under the name Hevea brasiliensis (rubber tree). The record is from RNAcentral. Lineage: Eukaryota; Viridiplantae; Streptophyta; Magnoliopsida; Malpighiales; Euphorbiaceae.